CACGUAGGGCGCAAGCGUUGUCCGGAAUUAUUGGGCGUAAAGAGCUCGUAGGCGGUGUGUCGCGUCGGCCGUGAAAACCUGGGGCUCAACUCUGGGCGUGCGGUCGAUACGGGCAUCACUGGAGUUCGGCAGGGGAGACUGGAAUUCCUGGUGUAGCGGUGAAAUGCGCAGAUAUCAGGAGGAACACCGGUGGCGAAGGCGGGUCUCUGGGCCGAUACUGACGCUGAGGAGCGAAAGCAUGGGUAGCGAACAGG
Molecule: ribosomal RNA, 254 nt
Filed under: uncultured bacterium
Lineage: Bacteria
Description: partial 16S ribosomal RNA
Rfam family: Bacterial small subunit ribosomal RNA
Source: RNAcentral